This 32659-nucleotide long non-coding RNA is filed under the name Setaria italica (foxtail millet). Its description in RNAcentral is "long non-coding RNA (SITA_LNC006309)". Lineage: Eukaryota; Viridiplantae; Streptophyta; Magnoliopsida; Poales; Poaceae. The record is from RNAcentral.
AUCUGCGGCAAUGGGAGCGUCCGCUACGCCUACCAGAGCAUCACAAGUGACAACUACAUCAUAUACACUGGCGCGACGACGCUGACCAGAUGCCUCCUGAGAAACAUCGCCCAUUCACCCGAGGUGCUGUUCGCCAGCAUCGACCUAGGCACCACCACUCUGCUCAUCCUGGCCUUCGUCUACGAGGAAGUCGUGGAGGUCCUCGUCUUUAUCCUCUCCAAUUGGCUCAUCGUGUCGCUCCUCUGUCAGUACACCGCCAAGCGCCACUGGCGGCAGAGCCGCAUGGUAUGUUGGCUCAUCCGCGGCAUCCUGUGGGUGCGAAGCAUGCUAAGCCACCCUAACCUCAGCUUCAAGCAGCUCUCCGUGCUAAGGUUCUUCCAACUGUCGUCGCCUUCGCCGAUCAUGGUGCCAACCAAGGCAGUGCCCAAGGAAGUGAUGGAGUCGAUCGUGGAUUAUCUGGUGGUUCACUUGGAUGUCUACGGCAUCGAUGGCCAUGACGACCCUCUCAAUUCGGCCUGGUCCUCCACACUGCAACAGGAGAAGCACAGGGCAUACCGUCCCCUGCUCUUGCCGGUGUGUGAGAGCAAGAGCAUCGCUGAGUUCAUCCUCACCUGUCACAUUGCCACCGCCCUAAUGGAGGUGAGGUACCCGCAGGACGAAAAGGAAAUGGGAUCUCAUCGCAAGGUGGCGACGACGCUGUCCAAGUACUGCACUUACUUGGUGGGCUUUUACCCAGGGCUUCUUCCGGACGACAAGAAUGGGACAAAGCACACUUACAAGAAGAUGAAGGAGGACAUGAACAAGGAGCUUGGAGGGUGCUGGUGGUACCACCUGUCGCUGCAGGGAACCAGGUACAAGAGGCUGAUGGAGAUCGGCGAAUCGAAGCAGAAGGCCGUGACAAUGGUGCGCAACGGGGCCAGGUUAGGGACAGCACUGAUCGAGAAGGCCGAGGAGAACAACGAGGCGCGUGAUCGCGUGUGGGAGCUGCUGAACGACCUUUGGACGGAGGUCAUGGUGUAUGUGGCGCCGUCGGCCGGCGACCUCCACGUGAAAGCCCACAAGGAGGCGCUGGCGCGCGGCGGUGAGUUCAUCACCGUGCUUUGGGUGCUGUGUACGCACACCGGCAUGACCAGGCCAGCCCUCGCACCGUGGGAGGUAGCACGUCAUGCGUUUGAACCAUAGAGCAUUAUUGGCUUCCCGUGUGUGCCGAUCUUUCGAGGACAGCUUGCUUGGGAUGGUUCAUCUCACAUGCUCCAUUCCGCUACUAACGCUAACAUUAGUACCGCGUCAUAAUGUGACCGGUACUAAGGGAGUGGACGAAAGAUAUAUUAAAAAUAGAUAUAUAGCCACCCGUUGUGAAUGCAUGGGUUGAUGCCAGUAAUUCCUAGAAAACGAGGCCAACCACAACCUCUUCAUCCACUUCUCCGACGUGAGCGCACAAUUCUCAACACUAGUAAGAAACAGAGCUUUAGUCCCGGUUUUUUAGUCCCGGUUGGUAAGGAUCAUAGAUCCCAAAAAUCCAAUCGAGACUAACUAUUCAAGGCUAAAUGACUCCUUUAGUCCCGGGUCAUUCACCUGGGACUAAAGGUGCCCUUUAGUUCCGGUUGGUGUUACCAAGCGAGACUAAAAAAAUUCCAAAAAAAAUAAAAAAAGCCAUCCGCGCCCGCCGCCCGCCUGCCUCCCACGGCCGCGCUGGCCUCAUGCUGCCCGCCCGCGCCCACGCCGACCACGUGCUACGACCCGCCCGCACCCACCCGACCGACCGCCCGCGUCGGAGCAUGGAAGAAAGGGAGAGGAGGAAGAAGAAGAGAUAAGGUGGAGAGGCCCUGCGUGGGAGAUAAGAAAGGGAGGGGAGGAGAUAAGUGGAGAGAAAGGGAGGCGACGAGAUUUUGUCUUGGUUGGAAUUUCCAACCGCGACAAAAGAUUUACUUCCGGUUGGAAUUUCCAACCGGGAUAAGGGUGGCGUCGAUGUCAGAUUUUUUAGCUGUUAGAACCAAGCCUACAACCGUGACUAAAGCCCCUUCAGUCGGUGGCCUUUGGUGCCUCAUACCUGGGACUAAAGUCACUUUAGUUCCGAGUCCAAAGUCAACCAAGAUAAAAGCAUCAAGAUGGAAGGUCAGUUCUCUAGUAUUGCAAGCCUAGUGUCUGCCACCUCCUCUCCACCAACAUGUCCCUCUUUCUGCAUGUAACACUUUCACACAUGCAUGUAACUUGAUUAAUCUUCUCAUGCGUGUUCACAACAAACGCAUGGAUGAAAAACAUGUCAAGAUUAAUUUCCAACACUUUUUUCUUCUAUAGAUAGUUUCCACUAAGUGGUUCACCACAUAAUAAAAUUUAGAUACUUGUCUCUGCAUAUCAUCGAUCAAUGUUGUUAGAGGGAUACAACAUUAUCAUUGUGUACAUCAUAUCAAUGACCGAACUUCAACUAUUAUAGAUACUGUUAUACUGUUAGCAAUGCAUAUAUCUCAAAUAUUAUUGCUUCUCUUUAAUUAGCUAAAGAAUAGGAUGCUAGAAUGAAAACGUCAAAAGAAAAAACAUAAUGAUGAAGGCAUCAGGUCCUCUCUUUUGGGGGCCAAGAUUCCUGCUGAUAUUGAUAACAAAAGAAGGAUACCAUGGGUUCUCUCCCAUUUGGAACUAUAUGUGACAAAAGUUAUGCCAGUACCUUAAAUGCUAAGGCUUGCUCAUCUUUUGAAUUUUUGUUCUUUGGCGGCCCCUGUCAUUUGAGCCUUUUGAUAAAGUAAAGGAGAGGAGAAUAAGCGCUAAAGGAAAGACCAACUGCUAUGGUGUUACCCGAACACCAUUGGCGGCAUCUUUCGAUUUACAGUACAUGCAGGCACGCCAAUACUCUCCUUCAAUCGUGUGCUUGCAGAACCUAUGAAAACGAUGCUCAUGCUUUGCAAGGGCACGGAAAUUUCGACUCAGAACGUGUCCAGAGGAAAUGGGCCCACUCGUAUGAUUCAUGGGAACAUGAACAAACAGAGACGUUCAGAUUCAGAAGUAUGGAAUUUGCAAGUCCCCGCAACCCACCGCCCCCACGUUGCUCCCGCAUGAGUGACACUGGUGGACGAAACCCUCGCCGCUGCCGCCCCUUCCUCCCUCUCCCCACCGCUGUGCCACCGCCCAAGCCGGCCGCUGAAAGCCUACGCGUCUCAUGAGGACGGCGGCGGUGGGGCGGCCUGCUUCUCCCCUUGAUCUCCUGGUGGGCGUGGCCGCUGUGGAGGUCAGAGGGAGUCGCCCGUAGGGCGACACACGGCCGUGACAGCGAGGCCGGAUCCGGGGCCCCUGUGGCCGGAUCCGGGGCCCUCGAUGCCGGAUCUGUCUCCAAGUGCGGUGGCGGUGGCUUCCCCCACGCGGGGCAGUGGUCACCCUGCCCGGUGCGGAAGCUGCACGAGCGGUGUGCGCCAGGGUGGAUGCCGCGCGGUGGCGGCUGCGUGGGCCAAGGCUGAGCAAGGGGCGAAGUGGGCGGCCGCGGUCCUAUGGCAAGGUGGGGUCAACGUGCAGGCCUCCUUCGAUGACUACCUCCAGGACCGCACCAUGUUCCCCGACGAGAGCAAGAGCCAGCGGAUCAGUGAUGGGGAGUGGCGGGUCCAGAUGCUGCUGCUGCAAUUCCUCCUCGUCACAGUGCGCCCUGUGGUCAUCAUGCAGCUGCAACACCGCACUGGUGGGCUCGACCCCAGUGGCGACAUCUGCAGUCCUCGGCGGUGAGCUCCUAGGGAGCGGUGACAGUGUGAAGGCGACAACGGCGAUCUGGGUGGUGCGGCGGUGGUCCCGAUGCGAGGCAAAGAAGGCACAUGGUAGCAGGGGCCGCUAGGAGGUGGGGACACGGAGGAGGCGCCGAAGGACAAGACGAGGAGGAGGUGUCGGGCAUACACCUCAGGGCCACGAGUAGGCCUUGUACGGCCCACCCAGGGGCGUACUCGGACAUGAGCAGGAGUUGGAAGCUAUGUCACAGGGUAACGUAGCCUACACGGACUACUGAAGACUAGUCUUGGUGCAUAAGGAAACUACUCUACCUAGUUGGAGUAGGACUCUGUAAUCAUAAUCGACUAGGAUUCCACCCUGUAACCCUGCUCCCCCGAUAUAUAAGGGUAGGCAGGGACCCCCUCCAAAGAACCAACUCAUACGCAAUACAAACAUCACACAAGACGUAGGGUAUUACGCGUUCUAGCGGCCCAAACCUGUCUAAAUCGUGUGCCUUGCAUCACCAUCAACUCCUUGAUUCUCGACGUCUCCACCACACAAAAUACCUCCUAGAGGACUCCCUAAGCGGGUUGCCGGUCUAAAACACCAACAGCUGGCGCACCAGGUAGGGGAAGUCGCCGAGUUUCUUAGCGCGAGAUCGAUGGCACCAAUUGUCAUCAAGCCAGCGCUCGCUUUCAAAGCAGGCGCAACUUUCAUCUUCGACUCCUGGCUUUGCAUCACCAACGGCGCCGGAUCCUUCCAGUGCUACCUCAUCGACAACCGGGAGAAAGAGCAUCUCAACGAAAACCCUCUUCGUAAAGAAGCAGACAGCCUCAUCGAGAAAAUCGACAAAUUCAAUCUCAGAUCAAGAUUCGACUACAACUCGAAGUCCAACGACGACUCCGAGUUCGACUACAACUCGAAGUCUGACUAUGACUCCAUUUUUAGUUUCGAGUUCAACCCCAACUUGGGGUCCAACUACAACUCCAAAUCAUAUCCAGGUCAAACUCCAUUCGGACUCCACAACGCAGCCACGGUCCAUCACUCCUUACUCGAAUCCAAUUCGGACUAGAGUCGAAGGAAGACUAUGCUACGACUCGGAUACACCCGAAGAGUUCAUCAGCAACUGCCACAGCUUCGUCGAUGACGACUUCCACGGGCGGCUCGCCGGUGACUUCUCCGACUACGUCGCGGCGCUCACUUAUGACUAUGGGCGGCUUGCUAACAAUUUCUUGGACUAUGUCAUGGUACUCGCCGACGACUACUUCAACAGGUGGCUCACCGGUGACUUCUCUGACUACGUCGUGGUGCUCACUGAUGAGUACGGGCGGCUCACCGACAAUUUCUCAGACUACGUCAUGGCACUCACCGACGACUACUUCGCUUGGCGACACACCGACGAAAACUUUGUCUGCUCACUGACGACUUCUCCGACUACGACACAGCGCUGGCUGACGACUAUGGGCGGCUCGCCGAUGAUUUCUCGGACUACAUCGUGGCACUCGACGACGGCUACUUCGACGGACGGCUCCCCGACGACUAAUCCGACUUUGCGACGUCCCUCGGCGACCCACCGAUGACUACUUCAACUUCGCGCGGGCGCUCGACAACUCGUUGAUGGCUACUUCGCUCGGCGCACACCAACGAAUACUUCGACUGCUCACCGACGACUUCUUCGACUACGUUGCGAUGCUCGUCAACGACUACUUCGACGGGUGACUCGCUAGUGACUACGUCGACUACUUGUCCCGACUAGAAAACUAGUCGGGGCAGAUUUCGCACCAUCAACGACUGGUCGGAACCGACUCCGACUAGUCAGCUUCGUCAACAACCGUCAUGGUUUCAUUGACGACCACCUUGGCUUCAUCGACAAUCAUCGACGAAUCAAGCUAAGUCUCUUUUCUGACAAUUUCCUAGCUUGAUUUCCUCUUGCGCACAAUACGCGCUCUACUCGCUAGAGGGCAGCAAACUCUCGCGCACAACACGCACUCUACUCACCGGAGGGCAGCAAAACUCUUGUGCAAUCGUGCUUGCUUUUUGUCGCAGCAGCGACUACUCACUUUUGUCUUCUCUUAAGAUCACUACUCUUCUCAAGAUGAACUUGCCUUGACACGUGAACGCCUCAGGUGCACCUGUGACGCCAAAUGCUAGCACACAUACACGAGACCACGCUCUUAGUUGUGCACAUAGCAAUGCCCAUACAUGUAUAUGAGACAACGCUCUCACACAUGCAAUGGCUACGGCUAAAUGGGGACUAAGAGCCUAAACGUAAUAGGCUAAAUGCUCGAGAAGAAUAUGAUCAAAAUAAGAGCAUGACACACAAUAUUUCAUAUUGAUCACUGAAUAACUUUCAGUAGUUUCAAUAUUCUACAAAAAUGCUACAUAUUGUACGCAUCUUUUCUUUCAAGUCAAACUUUGGCGAUGACGCUCGUCGUGUCACUAAGCAUGCCUCUAACGGCAUAGACUAGUUCCCGAACUCGGGGACUAAGCACCAAUCACUACUCGGGAUAUCUCUAGUGACUCAGCUAGCUCCUAGGCUCGGGGGCUAGACGCCGCAAAACUACUCGAUGUGGCUCCUACGGCUCGCCCAGCGCAUAAGCUCGGGGGCUGGAUGCCGCAAAACUACUCGGAUGAUGACUUACGCAGAGAUUCAAGAUCCUUGAGAUGAUUAUUCAAUCAAUUCAAGGCUCGAGGGCUGAUAAGCUACACCCAUCAGUUGAUUUUUUGUCAAGCCGGAAGAAAAAGUUUCAAGAUUUUGACCCUCAGCCUGAUUCUACGAGUCAACCUAAGGCUCAGGGGCUCCUCCAUAUGGAGUGUGAUUGUCAUCGCACUAUCAUAUAAAGAUUCAAGACAAAGGCUACUUGAAGCAACGUUACGCAAAGCAGAGAGUACCUUCCAGCCAUGUGACAGUACUCGGUUACUCGAAGGCUAGCCACCACGAGAAGCGCUCAAAAAGCACCAGAUAGUACUCGGGCAACCUCUUCAAGUACUCUGAGCUGUUCCACUCGACUACAAAGUACUCGGGGGCUUGUCAGGCAUACAUCCCCAGCCCCACGAGUAGGCCUUGUACGGCCCACCUAGGGGCAUAGUCGGACGUGAUCAAUACUUGGAGGCUACGUCAUAGGGUAACAUAGCCUAAACGGACUCCUGAAGACUAGUCACGGUGCAUAAGGAAACUAUUCUACCCAGUUGGAGUAAGACUCUGUAAUCGUACUCGACGAGGAUUCCACCCUGUAACUCUGCUCCCCCGAUAUAUAAAGGCGGACAGGGACCCCUUCCAAAGAACCAACUCAUAAGCAAUACAAGCAUCAUACAGGAUGUAGGGUAUUACGCGAUCUAGCGGCCCAAACCUAUCUAAAUCGUGUGCCUUACGUGACCAUCGACUUCUUGAUUCUCGACAUCCCCACCGCACAAAAGACCUCAUAGGGGACUCCCUAGGUGGGUUAUCAGUCUAAAACACCGAUAGGAGGUGCGAUGGACAAUAGUGACCCAUCUAGAAGAGCUGCAUGGAGAGGAUGCCGGUGCAGAGGACGGCAACGUGGAGAUGGUCGUGCAAGCGAUGAGGAGCGGAGCGGCGGCUCGAAUGCCACGAGGCCAUUCUGGUGCCGCGGGAACCACUCACAUGCUGACGUUGUGGUGGUGUGAGGAUCUACGCUGGUGGUAGUGGGGGCCAUUGUCGCAGAAAGCUUUGUGUUUGCGCACAUGGUACAACUGAGAUUAUGACGGCGGCAAGGUGGAGGUGAAGUUAUUAGAGUAGCUCGGUGGGACCAUGUCACCCUGAUGGAAAAUCAUGUCUGGAUCCUUGGUAUGGAGUCCAGCGGUGGAAGUGGUGAGAUCCCCGUUUGCUUUAAGGUGAUGUGUACGAGGAGUUGUGUGUGGCGGUGAAUGUGGCUAGAACCCCACACAUUUUGAGUUGCCUUGGAGGGCCAGGAUCCGGUGCAGUGUUUUGAUGGUUGGUGUGUACGGUGCGAUAGCAGUGCUUCGGCGUUGGGUCCUGCAGUGCGGUGGUCGUUUCAGUGUGGUGCAGUGUGCUCCUCCUUUGACUUAUGCUAAUACAAAGCCGUGGAUUGGGAGAUCGAUGACCGUGUGUGUGUGACCUGAGGACGACGACGACAUGGUAGAGAAGCCCUAGUAGCUACACGACUUGCAGCGGACUGCGACGGCCAGUCCUACGUGGCUUCGGCUGGUUUGGCUGGGACAUCGUCGGGGACGAUGGCGCUAGCGAUGAGGGCUACUUGGCGGCUUUUCCUGCUCAGUGGUGGUGGCAUGGUGGUCGCUGCUAGCUCAAGCGUUAGCGUUGAGUGGCUUUGCGUCGACGACCACCCAUAGAGUUCUUUUUUUGUUUUGAGUUGAGUCGGCAUUAUCUGUUGGGAGCUACUUCGGUGGCUCUGUUGUUAUACCCAGUCUAGGAUCUUUCUUCUUUUUAAAUAAUCGACAGCUCUCCUGCCUGGUUUGUUUGAAAAAAAUUCAAAAAUACGGUUGGAUGUAAGAUUAACGAGUUAAUCUUCAUGUAGCAUGUACAUAGACAUGUAACCAAGAAACACAAACUUUUUUACAACGGAACUCAAGUGUAUUUGAGUUGUACAGGCAGAGAUAUGACUAUAGAAAUUGGGGAAGCAGCACUUUGCAUGUAAUAUAGGGUUGAAUAAAUCACCUCUACCGUGGUUUAUACGUCAGUACUGUACAACAAAACCUGGCCACCAUCCCUAAAUUACAUGAUAAAAACUCUAUCAUCUACAACCAACAACUCUAGGUACGGUAGUUGUACACAUUACACGAUAUUGGUACGUAUGUUUAACUUGACCUGAAUGCAUAUGUUUAACCUUGGAGAAGAUAGUCCGAUUCAACCCUUAGAAAUCCUUUAAGAGAUGUGUCCAUGUUAAUCUUGCUACUACUAAUUGGAGAUACCGGAGGAUUCUCAAGUUAAGACGCAUGGGCGGCCGUGCUAGAAAAAAUAAGAUCUCAAAAACUCAUGAAAACAGAAAUUGCACCUCAUCACAAGGUGGACACGGUGCCCUACUGCAGCCCAAGCAACUACUACACUUGCAUUGGUGUUCUUUUCAGACAGUGCUCGCUGCAGGACAAAACGCUGACAGAGAUUUGUUGUUGCCAUUCUAGAAUCGUUUUAGCUGUGGCUUCGUUUCAUUCAGGAUUAAUUUGCAAAAAAAAUGUAUUUUCAGUGGAAAAUAAUGUAACCAGAUUGGCUCGAUUGCCCCAGAAAGAUAUAAUAACUCCAUGCAGUAACAUAUACAUGGUCAUACUUUAAUUAUUGUGCGUACAGUUGUACUACAGCAAGGCAUAUAUCUUAGCUGUCUCUUCGCUUUAACUAAAGAAUUGGAUGCUAGGAUGAAAGAUCCAUGGUUUGGGGCCACUAUUACUAGCUUUCUGCUGAUAUUGAUAACGAACGUAGGAUGGCAUGGGUUCCCUCCCUUUCUACAAAUGGGAGAGAACCCUGGUAUCCUUCUUUCGCUAUCAAUAUCAGCAGGAAUCUUGGCCCCAAAAGAGAGGACCUAAUGCCUUCAUCAUUAUGUUUUUCUUUUGACGCUUUCAUUCUAGCAUCGAUCCUAUUCUUUAGCUAAAGCGAAGCAAUAUUUGAGAUAUAUGCAUUGCUACAGUAUCUAUAAUAAUUGAAGUUCGAUCGUUGAUGUACACAGUAAUGUUAUAUUCCUCUAACAACAUUGAUCGAUGAUAUGCAGAGACAAGUAUCUAAAUUUUAGCUCCAAGUAAGUUUUAACCAAAAGUUUAUCUUAAGGGGUUCCACGACCCAAAUCUGUACUCCCCUAAAAAUAAACUUCAAUGGUAGUCCGACGGACUAUAGGGCCACCUGAUUAAACCUAUGAUUAACGACCAACAUAUCUAUCACUUACUCUCACUAUUUCCUUAUUAUUUGGUGAACCGCUUAGUGGAAACAAUCUAUAGAAGAAAAAUGUGUUGGAAACUAAUCUUGACAUGUUUUUCAUCCAUGCGUUAGUUGUGAACGCGCAUGAGAAGAUUAAUCAAGCUACAUGCAUGUGUGAAAGGGUUACAUGCAUGUGUGUGAAUGCAGUGCAUGCAUGCGCGUAUGGAGAAGACUAGGAUCUGCAUGCAUAUGGAAGCUUAGGGAGUUAUGUGUUACUCAAAGAGUCUCUAGACAAUGUGAAUCGAACGUGUCUUGGUACACUGGUAGAAAACUGAGUAUUAGUCCCAGUUGGAACGUUGCAAAUCUCCCAAAAAACCAUCCGGGAUAAAGCAAUCGAGAUAAAAGGGGGUGUCUUUUAUCCCAGGUCCCUCAACCGGGACUAAAGACACCCUUUAGUCCCAGUUGGUAAUACCAACCAGGACUAAAUGGUUUUGCAAAAAAAAUUAAAAAAUAAAUAAAUUCCUGUGGGGUCCUAGGGAGGCCUCCCCGCGACAAGCCACAAGUCAUGCGAUUUUCACGCGAAAUAUGCGCAUGCGCGGCUCGUGGGAUUCGAACCCACGACCUCAAGCCUCGCGCGUAGCUUCCUUGCCAUCCAACCUACACAUCAUAUCUAACUAUAUAGGGGAUCCAAUCCUUUUAUACUAACUUGUGGGGAACCCUUUAAUCCCGGUUGGAGAUACCAAACGGGAUAAAAGACCCCCUUUUAUCCCGGUUUGCAUUACAAACUGAGAUAAAAGGGUCUGGAACAUUUAUUCCUUCCCCGGAGCACAUGUGGGGGACCAUUUUAUCCCAGUUGGAAACACCAACCGGGAUAAAAGACCCUAUUUUAUUCCGGUUGGUAUUACAAACCGGGAUAAAAGGGUCCGAGGCCUUUAGUUCCUUUUCAGCCACCCGUGAGGGACCCUUUUAUCCCGGUUGGAGUUUCCAACCGGGAUAAAAGACCCCAUUUUAUCCCGUUGGUGUUGUGAGCUUUAGUCCCGGAUGAUAACACCAACCGGGAUUAAAAGGGUGACCUUUAGUCCUGGUUAUUCUUACCAUCCGGGACAAAAGGGUCCCCCACAGGUAGCUAAUUUUUUCACCCGGGACUAAAGGGUCCCCCACGGGUGGCUGAUUUUUGAACUGGGACAAAAGGUAACUUUUAGUUCCGGUUGCAAAUACCAACCGGGAGUAAAGCUCUGCGAACGCCCUUUUGUACCAGCCUUCUUUAAACCGGGAUUAAAAGGAAGCGCAUCGAAAGUUAGUUCUCUACUAAUGGUAGUGUGAAACCCGGUAGUUCCUCAGCUUCUCCUGCUUCGAAUCUGAACUCCCCUCCCCGUGCUGACAGAAAAAGGGGUAUUUAUACCCUAGAGACGCCAUGGUAUAAAAGAGAAGUGGGCGAGGUGAAAGCCCAUGCCGAUCGGCCUAGGUGGGUCCAAGCCGAUCGACCUGGCCCUUCCUUUCAUCCCCAAUUGCUCAAUGGAAACUCUCAUUUCAUCAAGUCUCUCAAAGCCUAUGCUAGAACAUUGUCAACCUAUUCUACUUACAAACAAGUGGUAGGCUUAUCUGGAUCUUGGUAGGUAGAAACAGUCCUUGCAAAGUAUAAUAGUCAGAAUAUUAUCAAAUUAGGAAACACUUCUAUUGGGUUGUCAAAAAGGUCAUGGAGAAAUAGUUGCUUAUAGAGAGAGAAUGGAACACACACUUUUUUAGAUGGCGGACAUGUGCAAGGGAAAAUAGGUGAUCCCGAGACACAAAUGAAGUUAUUGUUAUCGAGUUGCAUAUGGUUAGAAAAUUUUAGUGUUAACCCUGCUCUUAAUCAUAUGUAACAAGACAUGGCACUCCAUUUAGAUGUUCAAUUAAUAUUCUAGCUUAUUAUUAUGGAGGAUAGACAUUUUUCAAUGAUGAACAAGCCACAAAGAAUUUAGAACAAUGCUCUCAAAUUUAAAUCAACUUCAGAACUUUUCUUUCAAUGGAGCAUAAUUUUCAAACAGGACUAGAUCAACAUCAGCAACAGAAUUCUUGCAAUUGCUCAAUGGAAACUCUCAGCUCAUCAAAUCUCUCAGAGCCUAUGCUAGAACAUUGUCAACCUAUUCUACUCAUAUAAACAAGUGGUAGGCUUAUCCGGAUCUUGGUAGGUAGAAACAGUCCUUGCAAAGUAUAAUAGUCAGAAUAUUAUCAAAUUAGGAAAUACUUCUAUUGGGUUGUCAAAAAGGUCAUGGAGAAAUAGUUGCUUAUGGAGAGGGAGAGACUGGAACACACACUUUUUUAGAAUGUUGACAUGUGCAAGGGCAAAUAGGUGAUCCCGAGACACAAGUGAAGUUCUUGUUAUCUAGUUGCACAUGGUUGGAAAAUGAGUAUGGAUUUACCUUUAGGGGACUGGGAAAUUUAUGAAGCUCAAAGAACUAUUGAGAAUUUUUAUUAUCAUCUUUCUUUUUGCUCUUUUUCUUCUUUUUCUCAUCUCAUUUUUAAUUUUAUUUUUUAAUUUUUUUCUUUUGCUUCCUUAGAACUUUUUGCAACAUAAUACUUACUUAGCAGUGGUCAGAGAUAACGCGAUGACUCCAACCCCCAUGCUUGAACGAUGCUCGUCCUCGAGUAUGAAAGAGAGAACUAUUGUGACCCUUUUGAGAUUCAUUUGAUGCUUUCAUGAUCAAGAUCACCUGCACUCCACCUAUAUAUGCUAAACUCCUACACUAGUAGUUCACAACAAUUAUCACCCAUCCAUUCCACAAAAUAAAUACUCCACUACAUAUGUUGAUUUCUCUCAAGUUAUCAUUACAAAAGAAACAUGGGCUAUUGAAAAAGAGAGGGACACAUGAAGGUCCCAGUAUAGAAAAAAAUAUGAACACAUGAAGGUCCAAGUAUUAAAAAAAUGAAGAAAAAAAGGAGUCGGACACAUGAAGGUCCAAGUAUGUGAAUAAAGUGGAAGAUAGCCAUGUUCUCAAUAUUAAAUAUGUCCAAAGGGAGAGAGAUUAUAUAAAAUGGAGUUUCCAUACAUUCCCUAUCCACCACCCACAUAUUCACACACAUGCACAUCUUGAUCUGAUUGUAUGACUUGUUUUCUCCUUAAAUCCGGUUUUUGAAUUUGCAAUAUAUGUAAUACAAGUAUGCUUUAUUUUCAUCCCCUACCUUGAGCUCCACAAAAAGCUUUAUUAGAAGUAGGAAGGAAAAGAGGCAAACAAAUGCCUCGGUAAGGAACCAUACACAUUGAGCGAUCUGAGAUAAUCAUUCGAGGAGCAAGUCUAUGCUUUGUUCUGAGAAUAUUUCAAAAACCUAAGAUAUCUGAGUACGAGAAGUUUGUUACUUCUCUUCUUCCUUUUUAUAUAUGUGCUCUUUUAUUGUACACAAUACUAAGCUAUACUACUGUUCAAAAAGGACUAGUAUACAAAUAUUUGACGGUUAAGAUUAAUUGUAUACUACUGAAACCUUCACCUGUGGUAUGGGUAGUAUACAUGACUAGUAUAAGGGUAUUAUGGUAAAAGAACACAAAUGAUAUCACUAAAAUUUUAUUUUUGACACUAGCAUAAAGUUUAAAAUGCCAUUUCAUUUGAAAUAUCACUUUUCACAUGUAAUAAUUACUAAAUCAUGAAUAUUUAUAUCUUAUAUAUACUUAUAUACUACUAAGUAGUAUAAGCAGCAGGGGAUUACCCCUCGUGUUCCUAAAGAUAAAAUAGAUUACAACUCCAGCGGACGUGCUACAAUUCUUCAGGGCGCCGUGCCUGCCCUGAAAAAUUCCUGAAUGAGGGACGAUUUGCCGAUGAAUACUGCUGAAAUCAACAAGCUGGCCAAGAGCCUUAAAAAGUGGUUGAAUGUUGAAAGCUAAAGUAAGCAAAGCGCACUUGAUCAGUCCAACACACAACUUCCACAAAUUAAACAUGAGCUAGCACGAAGCAGUUCAUCACGAGAUCGACACACGACUGUGCGGACAUGAAGUUGUUGAUGCAUGCGGUCUCUGAUCAUCACGUACCAGCAGGCGGUGAUUUACCAUUACCGCCUGCCACUGCUGGCGGAGGAGACGGUGCCGGCGGAGUGCUCCCCCAUGAGACCGGGUACUCCAGUUCUUCUUCCGUCUUGCAAGGGACCUUGCCGCCGUCCGGGGUGCUUGCAUCGCUACGGAGGAAGGUAACCGGCCAGCAGUAAUAGGUCUUGUUGAUGAUCUUCUCCGAGUGAGCACGCUUGUAGCUGGUCUCCACCACCACCAUCACGGGGAAGCUGCGGUGGUGCCUGUCGGAGAGGUAGUGCACCGACGCGUAUUGUCCUUGCCUGUAGAGGCUUACCCACCUCCUGUACCUGUGCGAGCUGUGCGGCUGCAGGUCGAAGAUGACGUUCGUCUCCGGCUGGUACCAUAAGAACUGCACCAUCUCCGUGAAGGAAGCAUUGGGGUUGUCUAUGACCCUGAUGAUGCUGAUGUUGCACUGGAUCUGGCCGCGGCCGCUGGGGUUGAGGGCGUCGACGAUGAUCAGCAUCGGCACCUCUCCCGCUGGCGAGUACACAGACGUGGUGUUGUCGUAAAUCCACCACCAUUGUUGUGUCUGGACAUAGCCGUAGCUCUGGAGGUCCAUCUCCACGGGGCGGUUGACGAAGACGAUCACCAUCACCACCACCGCGACGGCGAGCACGGAGACCACGACGGCCACCAGUGAGCGCACCGUGGCUAGGAAGGGGAAUGUAGUGUUCUGGCCAGCGCGGCAUGUUGCCAUUUUUUCUCACGUAGGUAGCUAGGGCGGUGGAUGAUGGACUUGUCCGCUAGGGACCUGCAGCCAUAUAUACACAUAAAUUACUGACCGAAUGUUCAUUCCCUUUUUUUGGUUAGAUGACUCAGAUUAGUCUACCGGUUAACAGGGGGCUUGGCUAACAAUUAGGCUGCCUAUUAACCUCCUGUUAGGAUCAGCCAUGGCAAAGUUUUGACGGUUAACGAUCUCCCUAUAUAUCUAAACAAGUUCUUAGGUCAUGUUCCGUUCUUUAGGAGCUCCUAAAAUUCAUGUCACAUUCGAUGUGACAUGAAUUUUAGUCUGGACUAAAGAACCAAACACCCCAUUACUCCCCUCCCCCUCCCACCUCCCACACCAAUGUUCAAAAUUUUGGCCGAAAUUUCAUGAAAUUUGAUCUUUUGGUAGUGACCGAAAUUACUAUUUGCCCGAAAUUUCGGUAUGUCAACCGAAAGAUGCACUUUUUGCACCAAAUUUCACAUGAAAUUUCAUGAAAUUAGGUGUUUUCGAUGGGGACUGAAACUUUUCUGAAAACAAAAUCCCAAUCCCUGCCCCACACCGUCCAAGUAGAAUUAGGACACACUCUUUAUACAGUGAUAAUUCAGGCUUCUGCCAACCACAGGAACCGGAGUUGUUUAAUUUUUUGGCAAAAUGUCGUGCAGAUGCUUACAUACAAAGCAUUCGUACAUGCACCAAUUAUGAGUACUUCUGCAACACCGUGUCAUUAUGCUUUCAAUAUCUGGUCUUUAAAAACCUUAGAUUUACCUAUGAUGACUUGGUUAAUUAAUCUCAAGAUCAUCUGCUACCUAGAGUUUUGGUGGCACUGGAUCAUAGGGCACAGUUGUAUGUGUAUUCAUCAGAAUGAGUGCAUGUGCAUCUAUAUGAUGUCCGUGUUUUUUUUAAAAAAAUAAACCUGCGCAGGUCAUGAUGCUUCCACUAUCCUGUCUUAUCUGUUUGGAUACCAGGGGCUAUACUUUAGCUCCUGUCAUAUCAGAUGUUUGAUACUAAUUAGAAGUAUUAAAUAUUGACUAAUCACAAAACUAAUUGCACAGAUGGAGGCUAAUUCGCGAGACGAAUCUAUUGAGCCUAAUUAGUCCAUAAUUUGACAAUAAGGUGCUACAGUAACCAUUUGUUAAUGAUAGAUUAAUUAGGCUACGUCUCGCGAGUUGGUCCAGAAUUUGUGCAAUUAGAUUUAAAAUUAGCUCAUGUUUAAUUCUCCUAAUUAGCAUCAAAACAUUAACUGUGACAAGGGCUAAACUUUAGCCAAGGACAACCAAGCAACAUGCACGCCUAUAUAUGCUCUUUGAUCAGAAAAGGAAAGAAAUAUUCCCAAAAAAAAGGAAUAUGUGCUGCGGUCCAUACACGUUCUUUGAAGAAAUAUUCCAUACUUAUUUUAUGUCAUUGUAGAAGGACUUUGAAUAAGGUUCGAUGGAGUCACGUGGCUGCGUCUGCUGGCAGCUGAUCGAUGAGUCAUAUUACUAUUGGACUUGUGUUUUGGAUGCUUAUGUUUUGGAUUACAUUCAGAAUGUACGGGCAGGGGCGAAGCCACGUAUAAGAUUUUUAUUUACCACUAAUUAGACUCAAAAUUACCAUAUAAUCCUAGCUUGUAAAUUAAAAUUUACAAGUCUCUUGAGCAGUGCACCACGGUCAAUUCAGCGCUAGCUUCGCCCCUUUGUACGGGGAUUAUGCAACCCAGAAACGACGACUAAGAGCCUCAUUUCCGGACAUGCGUCCCUAUGAUCCUUUAUAUACUCCAAAUGUCUGAGUGGCCGGCUCAUACUUGCCAUGGCGAUGUCUAUCCCUCCUCUCAAAGGAUGGAGCAGCAAGCUCCUUGUAGUUGCGGCCAUGAUAGGAACCCUGGUCGUGGUCGCCAUCGCCGCCGUCAUCAUCGUCGGCCUCACUCCGCCACUGGUCUUCUUCUCCAUCCAAGAUGCAAGCCUCCAAGGCGGGCAGUUGAAACAGCAAAAAUUCUACAACUUCACCCUCUAUGCCAACAACACCAGCCGGCGCAUGGAGGUGCACUAUACCAACCUCAACACCGAGAUCUGGAUAGCCCCGUCUGAGUGGUACCCGGCCGAGGUGAGCAUGAGCGGGUUCGAGCAGCCACCGGUGAGCAUCAACGGGUACAAGCAGCCACCGGACAACGUGACCAAGGUCGCCGGGUGGGCCGAGUUCUAUCAGACGACGUCGUUGACGGCGGCGGCGCAGGGCGGCGGCGCGGGGAAUUGGCCAAACUGCACUGUGGUGGUGAUGGCCAAGGUGUUGUUCAAGGUCGGGCUGGCACGCACACGGCCGUACCACAUCAGGGUGUUCUGCUUCCCCGUCAACUUCCUCAAUACGACUCGGUACGCCAAUUGUACAUACUGAUCUCGAUCGACGUGUAUGCAUGCAUCCAUGUUGUUGAACGUGUACAUGACUGUUGUGACGUGCUCCUUUACCAUAGCUUCAGAUCCUGACUUGUAGCAUUGACAGAGUAUGCGUCUAUUAUGGCAGAGAGCCUCUUGUACAUGUAUUUAACUCAAUCCAGAGAUCAAUAAUGAAAGGAUGCGGUUUUUUUUUAGGAAACAGGAGGGGAAGUACCCCUGCUGAUUAUAUAUUAAUAUAUAGUUGACAGUACACUAGUGAUACAAACCUUGUUUAUGACACAAAGAAAGAAACAAAAAAGAUUAAGAAAAUUACAGUGAAUGCUCUAACCAUUGAACCAUUGAUUGUUUCCAAGACUCUCUGACACGAAAUACUACCAAACUGAAAAUCUGUUUGAACCGUUCCUUUGCAGCUUGAUAAGCUGGCACUAGGGCCUUUGAAGAUGCAGUCAUUGCGUGUCAUCCAAAUACUCCAGCUCAUAAUUACGAUAAUUUCCAUAAAGAAAGGCACUUGCAACUGGUUCCAGCUCAUAAUUACGAUAAUUUCCAUAAAGAAAGGCACUUGCAACUGGUUCCAGAAGCUAACGAGAAUAUCAUAAGGUUGUUGCUGCAAAUCCACAAAGAGGCCGAGAUUGAUCCAACACUCCUGUGCGAAUGGACAAUCUAGUAAUAGAUGAAAGAGGGUUUCUUCCUUGUUGUGGUUCCAGAGGACGCAGUUAUAGGAAGGGAGAGCCAUCUGCUUUCGUUUAAGCUCCACUGGCGGCAGAGCCGCAUCCUGUGUCGGCUCAUCCGCGGCAUCCUGUGGGUGCGAAGCAUGCUAAGCCACCCUAACCUCUGCUUCAAGCAGCUCUCCGUGCUAGGGUUCUUCCAACUGUCGUCGCCUUCGCCGUUCAUGGUGCCAACCAAGGCAGUGCCCAAGGAGGUAAUUAAAGAUUUCUUCAUCGGUAAUGUCGCGCGGUUCUUGGUUUCAAGUACUGCCUGUAUUUUUUUAUUUUUUAUUUUUGCCUUGUCAUUUGGUCCGUCAGAACUAAGUUUGUCGAAUUCCUUCUGAAUAAGCUUGAGACGCUGGUCGUGCUUGUUUGUUGGUGUGCCUACGUGCCGCGUAGUUGUCGUAGCAAAUACUUUCGGUUCCAUAUCGCCUGUGACUGGACCGGGAUGUUCUUCAAUCUGUUAUGGCCCUGUAUUCUGUUUUUAUAUGGAUCCCACAUAUAAUCAAUUUCCAACAUUUGCUUUCCUCUGUACAUUCAGCAUGUUGUCUUUUUUUUUUUUUUGAAGCGCAUUCAGCAUGUUUCGCAGAUGUUUGGAAGGAUGAUCCAAAUUCUGAAUGCACAGACCCUGUUGGGAAAUUGAUUUCCCCACUGCGUGUCUGUGUUUACAUGCAUCUUCUAACUGUGGUUCCAAUGGCCCGUCUAGGCCCAUACAGGCCUAUCAGGUGGAUGGGCCGGCCGGCCUCCUGGAUCAACAAGACCGGUAUCCCUUCUUGGCCCGUCCGCCCCCGCUGUAGAAACAAAACCAGAACCAGCAGAUCCCCCGGGCCCUGAAGAGAAAGACGAUGGCAACAGAAGAAAGAGCUCGCGACGAAGCCGGCGAAAGCCCCCCAAACCCUCCCCAGCCCAGGCAGCGGCGGCGCGACGAGAUGGCCGACGACCCCACCGCCGGCGGCGGGAACACCGUCGAGGACGUCGUCCGCGCGGAGGUGAGCAUCCCCGGCCGGCCCUCGUCCUCUUUGCUGCGAGUGCCGGGGAAUCCGAUCUCCGCCCGGGCCGACCUGGCUCUGCUCGGCUGCCUCCCGAUCUGCCCGCGCGGGUGGCGGCGCCUCGCCCCUAGUUCGGUUUCGGGUUAGAGGUGUCCCAGCGUGGUGUCUGGGCGGGGGGAAUCCGGCGACGAGGCGUUCUCCCUCCCGUUGGCUCGGUUGGCGCGGACGGACGCGGUGGGCCUGGUUGGGGAAAUCUGUGCCCGUUUCGAUUUGGGUGUAGAAUAGGUAUACGUCUUCAAAAUUGAUAGAAUUAGGCCCGUUUAUAAAAAAUUGAUAGAAUCUGCCUGCAAGGCGCGGUUUCCCAGCUGGCCCGUCCUCAUUUACUAAUCCCCACCAAGCUUAGCAUCUUUCCUUUCGAUGAAAUAAAAAAAUGUUAAUGUCAACAGCUCCUCGAUUACCGCAUAGAUUAACACCUCUUUAGCCUUUGUGGCACGGCACCUAAUACUUUCCUCACCUUUGCAGUGCCGUGGGCCCGCCACUUCCCUUCUGGCCCACAAGUCAUGGAGGCGCGCGAGGAGGGGUAUCGGUUUCACGAUGAUUAAUCAAGAAAGGCCCAAGACACGUCACGCUGGGGGUGGGGGAGGGAAGACACCGCACCGCAUGCACCUGCAUGCACCUUUGCCUUUGCUUUUCCCCGGCGUCCUAGGGACCUCGAGCUCGCCCGCCUAGGAGCUCCAGCAGCCGGGCCGCUCCGCCGCCGGUGCGGCAACCACGCCGCCGUCAGACCACCUCGCGCGGCCACCCCGCGCCGGUGCGCCGUGCGCGGCGGUGCUGUCCCGCCGCUCCUCCGCCUACCGUCCUCCUGCGCCACCACCAGCUAGCGCACCGGCAGCACCGCGAGCUGCCGCGCCGCCCCGACGACGUUGGUCAUUCCGGAGCCCGGUGUCGUCACCAGCGUCGCCGGAGAAGGUAAUUACCUGAAGCAAUUUGUAGAAACGAAUAGUACUGGUUCGUUCACUUAUUUCAUUGCUCAAACUUAAUUUCUGCUUAUUAGAGUUUGUGCCUUGUCGUGAGACUAAAUUAGCUGCUUAUUCUGCAGGUUGCAUUCAGGAGAUCGAGCUGCCGGAUCGGAGGAGGUCAUAUCAGCCGUGUUGGUUGUGCACUUGUGUUGCUGCCGGCGGAGAAGGAACCAUGGUGAUCGGGCCACUGAUCUCCAUAAUGUAGUUGAACUAAAAUAAUCCCCUUCUGAGUUUAGCAUCUUUCCUUUGGAUGAAAUAAAAAAUUGUUAUUCCGGAUCCGUAAUCUCAACUGCUCCUCCAUUACACAUAGCAUCUUUCCUUGAGUUUAGCAUAUUAUUUCAACAUUUCAAAACUCUAGAUUCAACAUUUCUUGAAACUUAGUGCAACAUUUUAGAUAAAUCGAUUCAACAUUUAGCAUAGUAUUGUUGAAAAUGUUGAGCUAGUAUAUGUUAUUUCAACAUUUCUGCAAAGCUAGCUCAACAUUGAGGUAAUGUAGUUCAACAUUUUGUGUAGUAUUGUUAAAAUAGUGUAUCUAAAAUGUUGAGCUAAUACACAAAAAGUGUUGAGCUAGUAUAUAUUAUUUAAACAUUUCAAAAGUCUAGAUUCAACAUUUAUGGAAACCACAUUUUAGAUAAACUGGUUCAAUAUUUUGCAUAGCAUUGUUGAAAUAGUGUACCUUAAACGUUGAGCUAAAUAUAUAAAAAUGUUGAGCUAAUAUAUCUAAAAUGAUGAAACUAAGAAAAUAAAAAUGAAAAAAAUAUAUACAGUCAUGUGGGAUCUUAAUCCGUUAGAAAAAUUUCGAAAAGGCUCAUAGUUUAAUCGGAAUUAAAAUUAAAUGCACCGUUAGAGAGAUAAGUAAGUUGAAAAGUUCGAAAUCAAAACUCACAUCACCCAACAAGUAGCUGAAACCUAUCCGUCCUUUCAGCAGCUCCACCCACCUCGCACCAGCAUACUAGCACAUGGUGGUCCCCAGCCACCUCGAUGCCGUUGCGUCGAAGGAGAGGGCGGAACCGACGAGGGUCGCCGGCGGCUCCCACCCCGGCCGAACGCGUCCUGACCGACUCCGGCAGGGGGCGGCAGGGCCUCCCGCAGGUGAGCGCUUCCAUCCGUGGUCCGCAGCAGUAAUGUCUGAUUUUUCGCUUUCUUCUCCAGAAUUCGUCGCAUAUACUUAUAUGUCAUCGUCCUCUUAUUUUUCGCUUUCUUCUCCAGAAUUCGUCACAUAUACAAAGCUUUCACGAUUUCGAUGAGAGAUUUGGUCAUGUUUGUGGCCACGGAGACACAGUCUAGCUAGCGUAGUGAAAAGUGGCACUAGUGAUUGCAAUACGCACGGAAAUUGGUUUUUUGUCUGUUCUUUCUCCAUCUCAAUCAUCAAUCAAAUGGGGGUAGUCGUCGGUACGCCGGGUGGGCCGAGUUGGCCAAACUGCACAGUGGUGGUGGCAGCCAAGGUGUUGUUCAAGGUCGGGCUGGCACGCACACGGCCGUACCAUAUCAGGGUGUGUCCUGCUUCCCCGUCAACUUGGGGAGGUGGGCCAAGCGACAGCUAGCUGUGGUGUGGUGGGCAUCCAGCAGGCGCGCAGGGCCCAGCCGUGGCCGUGAUUAUGCGCCGGGGUGAGAGAAGAAGACACGGCACCUAAUACUUUCCUCACCUUUGCAGUGCCGUGGGCCCACCACUUCCCUUCUGGCCCACAUGUCAUGGAGACACGUCAGGCUGUGGUGGACAAGGGAAGACACCGCACCGCACGCACCUCCACCACUUGCCUUGCCUUUGCCUUCGCUUUUCCCACUUGUGCUGUGGGAAGACACCGCAUACACCUCCAGCUCGAGCUCGCCCGCCUAGCUAGGAGCUCCAGCAUCCGGUCCGCUCCGCCGCCGGUGCAGCAACCACGCCGCCGUCAGACCGCCUCGCGCGGCCACCGGUCGUCCCCGCGAUACACCGCCGCCGGUGCGCCGUGCGCGGCGGCGCUGUCCCGCCGCUCCUCCGCCUACCGUCCGCCUGCGCCACCACCAGCGCACCGGCAGCACCGCGAGCUGCUGCGCCGCCCCGACGUUGGUCCUUCCUGAGCCCGGUGUCGUCACCAGCGUCGCGGAGAAGCUAAUUACCUGGAGCAAUUUGUAGAAACAAAUAGUACUGGUUCGUUCACUUAUUUCUUUGCUGAAACUUAAUUUCUGCUUAGAGUUUGUGCCUAAAUUAGCUGCUUAUUCUGCUGGUUGCACGCAGGAGAUCGAGCUACGGGCGUACGGCCGGAUCGGAGGAGGACAUAUCAGCCGGGUUCCUGUUGGUUGUGUACUUGUGUUCCUGCCGGCAGAGAAGCAACCAUGGCCGAGUUACUGAUCGGGCCACUGAUCUCCAUGGUGAAGGAGAAGGCAUCCAGCUACCUGCUGGACCAAUACAAGGUGAUGGAAGGCAUGGAGGAGCAGCGCAAGACCCUGGAGCGCAUGCUGCCAGCAAUCCUGCAAAUCAUCCAGGAUGCGGAGGAGAAAGGAGCCUCCCGAUCUAAAGUUGCAGUUUGGCUUAAAGACCUCAAGACAGCGGCCUAUGAGGCCAACGACGUCUUUGAUGAGUUCAAGUACGAGGCGCUUCGGCGAGAAGCCAAGAAGAAGGGCCACCAAAGCAAGCUUGGAGCGGAGGUAGCAAGACUCCUAGUCCCCGCUCGUAAUUCCAUUGUAUUCCGUUACAGGAUGGGCAAGAAGCUAAGCAGGAUUGUGCAGACCAUCGAGGCCCUGGUCACCGAGAUGAAUAAAUUUGGUUUCAGACACUUGCAGCAAGCACAGCCAUCAAGGCAGUGGCGACAGACAGAUUCCAUAAUCAUUGACUCCGACACAGAUAUUCUUAGCAGAUCUAGAGAUCGGGAGAAGAAGAAAAUCGUGGGGAUGCUCCUUGAUCAAGCUAGCAACAUGGAUCUCAUGGUUCUUCCAAUUGUUGGGAUGGGUGGGAUGGGCAAGUCCACCUUUGUGCAACUCAUUUACAAUGACCCUGCAAUCGAGAAGCACUUUGAGCUUCGGAGGUGGUGCUGCGUGUCAGAUGAUUUCGAUGUCAGUACCAUUGCAAGCAACAUCUGCCAGACCAAUGAGAAAUAUCGUGAAAAAUCAUUGCAGGAGCUCCAGAGUACAAUAAGUGGAAAAAGAUACCUCAUUGUGUUAGAUGAUGUAUGGAAUCGGGAUGCUGAUAAGUGGGGAAAACUAAAGACCUGCCUUAAGCAGGGUGGCAAGGGCAGUGCGGUACUAACAACAACUCGUGAUGCAGAAGUGGCUCGCAUUAUGACCAUGGGUGUAGCUCAAGCCCAUAAUAUCGAGAAUCUGAGUGACGAGCAUUUAAAGGAAAUUGUCCAGAGCAGAGCAUUCAGCUUGCAAAAUCCAAAUAUGGAAGAGCAAGAUGGCAUUCUCAGUGGAUUUGUUCGUCGAUGCGUUGGAUCUCCCUUGGCUGCCAAAGCCUUUGGCUCUAUGUUGAGUAACAGGACUAGUGUAAAUGAAUGGAAGGAUGUAUUAGCUAAAAGUGACAUUUGUAGUGAGAAAACCGGAAUUUUACCGAUCCUCAAGCUCAGUUUUGAUGACCUAUCCUCAGAUAUGAAGCAGUGCUUUGCAUUUUGUGCUUUAUUUCCUAAAGAUUAUGAGAUUGAUGUGGACCUCUUGAUUCGACUGUGGAUGGCACAUGACUUCAUACCUGUGCAGGAGGAUGACAAUCUAGAAACCAUAGGAAAAUAUAUUUUUGAGGAGCUAACUCGGAGGUCAUUCUUUCAAGAUGUCAGGCAAACACUUCAAUUUGACUAUUUUGGAAGCAGGUUGUCGCUUCGUAAGUCAACCAUAUGCAAGAUACAUGAUCUCAUGCAUGACAUUGCUCUAUCUGUUCUGGGGAAAGAAUGUGUCACUAUAGUUGGUAAGCCGAGCGUCAACAAGCUGUUGCUAAAUCCGACCCGCCACGUCUUCUUAUCACUAUAUGGUUUCAAUCCUACUUUCUGGAAAGAACAGGUUACAAGUCUACUAGAUCAUCUAUUGAAGAAACAAACUGCAAUGCUCCAUACGUUGUUUAUCAAAGAUUAUGGUCAACCCCUUGAUAUAUCAAAGUACACUUCACUGCGAGCAUUACACCUUCCAGCAAAUGAAGAGCUAAGGUAUCCUAAUCUGUCGCCACAUGAACAGCUUACAAGACACAUACAACACCUAAGGUAUCUUAAUCUGUCAUCACAUUGGUUCGAGAAACUUCCUGAAGGUAUAAGCAUUAUGUAUCAUCUACAAACGUUGGACCUCUCUCAUUGCAAAUACCUUCGUCACCUUCCAAAGGAUAUGAAGUAUAUGGCAAACCUCCGACACCUCUAUACCCAUGGAUGCAUAUCAUUGACAUGCAUGCCUCCAGGACUUGGACAGAUCACUUCUCUGCAGACUCUAACAUAUUUUGUUAUUGGUGAUGGCUUGGGAUGUAGUACUAUUGGGGAACUUCAAAACUUAAACCUUGGUGGAGAGUUAGAGUUAAGUGGUCUGCAAAAUGUAACAGAAGUGCUUGCAAAAGCAGCCAGUCUUGAAAAUAAAGAGAGACUCACACACUUAUCUCUCGCGUGGAAUGAUGAUGCCCGUGAGAAACCAGAUUCUCAUAAUGAGGUGUUAGAUGCCCUUAAACCUCAUCACCGGCUAGAGAUGCUAAGAAUAAAGUCCUACAAAGGCACCAAAUUACCGUCAUGGAUAACAGAUCUUAGUCUGUUGCAGCACUUGACUGAGCUCCAACUGGUUGGUUGUAGGCUGUGCGAGGAAUUUCCUCAAUUCUGCCAUUUCAAAGCCCUUGAAGUUCUGUAUUUGAAAAAGUUGGACAAAUUGCAAAGCCUAUGCAGUCAUAUGGUGUCUACGCCAUUUCCAGCACUGAAGCAACUCCAGUUACAUGAUUUGGAGAGCUUGGAGAGAUGGGUCGCAACAGAAGGAAAAGAAGAUGAAUUAUCCUUUCCUGUACUUGAGGAGGUUGAAAUAGAGAACUGUCCAAAGUUGACUAGCCUACCUGAAGCACCAAAGCUCAAGGUUGUAAAGCUGGAUGAAGGCAAGCCGCUGCUCUCCUUAGGAAUAGUUAAAUCAAGGCACAUGUCUUCAAUUUCUAAGCUACUACUGCGUGUCCGUGACACAGAAGCACUGCCUCAGAUAGAUUAUAAUUGGGAUUCAUCACAGAAACUGGAACUAUCUUUGGGUGGCACAGAAGCCGCACCUCUGUCACAACUGAGCAUAUUUGGCUGCAACUUUUUAUUCGUAUCAAGCCACUCACAGCUAACACCUGGGGUCUGGAAAUGGUUUGAACAUCUUGCAGUUUUAACAAUUGCAAAAUGUGAUGUGCUCAUCUACUGGCCAGAAGAAGUGUUCCAAAGCUUGGUAUCUUUGAAGUACUUGUUCAUUUUCUCCUGCAACAAGCUAAUAGGGCCCACACAAGCGAAAGGUGACAAACCUACACAAACAACAGAUCAAGUCCUGCCACAUCUAAACAUGAUACGUAUACACAAUUGUGAAAGCAUGGCACAGCUCUUCAUUCUUCCCCCAUCUAUCAGAAUUAUUCAUAUUUUUGAGUGCCCUAAGCUUGAGUUCAUAUGGGGAAAAGAGGAGCAUCUUGACACAUAUGCAUCGCUGGAACAUUGCCGCGACCCUGCAUCCACCACUGGUAACCUAGAGCAAUCGCCGUCUCCAAUUAUUCGCCGUCCAUGCCUUGUAGAUCUAACUAUAAGAGGAUGUGAUAGCCUGGUAACACUUCCAAAUCUACCACCGUCCCUCAAGGAAUUAUUCAUCCGGAAGUGUGAGAAGCUCUGCUCUGUGUCAGGAGACCUGUGUGCACUCGAGACCCUACAGAUUGUUAACUGCAAUAAGUUACAGUCAGUCAAUUCCUUGGGAGACCACCCAUCAUUAGAAACACUGUUUCUUUCUGGCUGCCGAUGCCUUGCAUCUUUAGGAUGUGAUGGUGGUCGUGGGAGUUACUCUGCUCUUCAGUGCCGUGAGAUCGAAGACUGCCCAGCCAUAGAUAUGAAGCAGUUUUACUAACGCCAUCAAACAGCUGCUUGACAGCUUUGAAUAUGAAGACGUAUCACACGUUCAUUCAAGCAGCUCUGAUGAAGGUACGACCUUUCACUUUCCUCUUAUUCAAUUUGUUUCCUUCAAAUUUCCCUUCUUUGCAUGCCCUCCUAUUUUGUUGACGAUCUGGUUUAUAGAUGGGCUUGCGGGGUGGGAUUUUGGGGUUUCAUCUUCGUUCCGGCUUUUAGACGGUCCUUUCUCACUGACGUGACCCCACAUAUAUUUUAGUUUAUACGGCUAUUGGUUUUCAGUCUUCGAUGCAGUUGAAGUGCAUAGGGAAAUUCUGGAAACAUGUUCUAUCCCUUGGUGUUGAGAUCAGCUGAUGCGGAAUCACUGAAGUACUACUGAAACGAGAUCCUGAUCGGUCUCAGUUGUGGAGAGCAAUUUGUGAUGAAUGGAAGCAGUCCCAAGGCUUCAAGAACUCAUGGAGUCGUGCUGUACCAUUCUCCACUGCCAGGGCCUAAACUAGGUACAUGGAAGGCGCACAGGUUGGGAUAGUAAAAAACCAUACCUUUGUCUGUGUUAGAGCAACUCCAAGAGGCUGCUAAUCUUACCCCAAUACCUUUUUUAGGAAAAAAAAAGAGAAAAAAUGAACUCCAACAAUCCACCUAAACCUUCCCCAAUUUUUUAGCGACGCUAAAAAACAGCCUGCCAUCGCGUAUAUUUUAGCGUUGGCGUUCCUUCCCCAAUCCUGAUUCCCGCACACCCGCGCGUCCCUUCCGAUGGGCCCAAUACGAUGACGUGGCCUGUGUUUGAAAUAUUGGGGGCUAUUUAUUAGCGAUCUGUUGUGGACUGAUAUGCUUUUGGGGGAAAUUUUUUUUGGGAGAACCCCCAAUACAUAGUUUUGGGGAAGAAUUUUUUAGGAUACUCUUGGAGUUGCUCUUAGAGCAUCUUCAAGAGUCUGCCAAAAAACUCUUCCCCAAAACCACAUCAUCCCACAAUAGAUCCCUAAUAAUAAAUUUUCCAAUAUUUUAAAAUUUGCCACAUCAGCAUGCGUGGACCCUAAGCUGGGCUGCCCCCUUCCCCCGCUGGAGCGUUUUCGCGCUUUCGCACUGUGGCUGCCUGAGCAGGGGUUGGUCUGUGCUGAUUUGCUGAACCAUGCAUAUUAUAUGCACUGGGACUGUCAUGCCCUCAGAAAAGCAUCAUCAUCUACUGGUAUGACGUCAAUUCAGCCUCAAACUCUCAACACUGAAGGCCUUCGAGGACUAGGACUACGCCAGCGCCACCCAUUGAAUCCCAUCCCCAUCUCGGCCACGUGCCAUGCCAUGCCCAGCCGUGGGGCACUGGGCAGCCCACGUGCAGCCACUUGUGGCCACGGACGCCCAGCCAGACCAUCACCCCCAAGAGGAGGAACGCCUUAUCUUUUCACCAUGAGAAAGCAGAGUCUAACGGUCCGUGGGCAAUAGGAAAAUCAGCACCGGCGGACUCCUGUGUUCACCUUCAUAUUUUUCGUGGUCUAUAUUAUGCGAGUUAUAGCAGUCCUAGGGAAUUUGUUUGGUGUCUCGGAGUUGUCAUAUUCCUAUUAAUGAUUGUGACAGCUUUUAUAGGAUACGUACCACCUUGGGGUCAGAUGAGCUUUCGGGGAGCAACAGUAAUUACAAGCUUAGCUAGCGCCAUACCAGUAGUAGGAGAUACCAUAGUGACUUGGCUUUGGGGUGGUUUCUCCGUGGACAAGGCUCUUGGAGUUGCUCUUAAUCAAUUCUCAUUUAGCACUCUGUUGUUAACAUGUUACCCCCAUGCUUUUCAUUUUUUCUGUGCAGACAUGACCCAUUUAUCCUUAAAAGGCAUAAAGGAGGGCACUCACAUGUACGCACGACUGGCAACUGGAAGCUUCGUUGCAAGCCUCUGCUAACGACCAAGUUUGUUUUCACGCCACUAUACCAGCUGCUGGUAAUUCUCUUGUCACUAAUGUCAUCCUGUCAUCCAUCAAAGCCGUGGAGAAUAUGAUGCCACUCUGAGUCCUUCAGUUUGCCACGUGAGCCGAUGAAGCAGAAACAGAUGAUGAUGAUGGAUGAUAUAACUGCGGGGAUGCAGACUUGCUUUCAACGGUCGAAAUGGAGCUACAAAUGAUUAGUCGUAGUCGUGUGUGGUCCUUCCAUCACCUUGUGUUAUUGAUCCCGUUUGUAUGUGUUGCGUUCUCUAUAUCCCUCCAUAGCUUUUCAGUUGUUGUCUCUUUUACGACUAUUUUGAUUCCUCUUUUCCUUUUUAUUAAUAUAACACAAAAAUCCUCUUGCCAUGUUUUUGAAAAAACAAAAUCGUGAGGAUGCUGCUUCAUGAAGCUAGCAACAUGGAUCUCAUAUGGUUCUUCCGAUUGUUGGGAUUGGUGGGAUGGGCAAGACCACCUUUAAUUUGUGCAACUCAUUUAUGACCCUGAUCGUGAUGCAUUUUGAGCUUCAGAGGUGGUGCUGUGUGUCAGAUUCGAAAAUGUUUUUUGACUCUUUCAUCACCGCCUUCAGUAGCUCAUGCCGGUCAGGUCUUCUCCAGUGACCAGUUCCUUCACCUUGGUUGCGCACCCCCUCACCUGGGCUUGCAGCUAGGUCAUAGCCUUGGCAUUCCGCAUCAUCUCAGCCAUGGCAUAGUCUAGUGCUACGUAGGUUGUGUCCGUCCCGGCUUCAAACAUGUCCUUCAUGAACAUAUCCGUAGAACUCCAAUCAAAUUUAACCAAACUAGUCAUGAAACAUGUCAUAUGUACCUCUUGUGAGAAUUAAAUUGGAGGCUUAAAAUCCUUCAAUUAGUAACAGUAAGAAAUUAAUUAAAAUUUGGAGUUUUGUUGCAUACAAGUUGCCAGUCACCAGUACAGAAAUGACCUUUAGUCCUGGUUAGGAAACCUUGGGAAACCUCAAAGAGCUCGGUUUUCCCGACCGGGAUUAAGUAUUCGGGAUUUAGUCCUGUAACACCAUGUGCUUUGCCUUAUAAUGAAAGCCACUAAAAAUUCGAACUUCUAAAAUUUUCCUAUAAACUAAAAUGUGCCUUGCUAUUUCAUACCUCAAAACCCUUUCAAAAUAAAUUUUACAAAACAACCUUCAUCAAAAUUCACCAUAUGCAUUUUAUUGUGCUUGUUUGAGUGUUGUUUGCUUGUGUGCUUUGUUGAAUCUUUUGGUGGCAACCAACCCCUUGACCUCCUUUCCAAAUUUCCCACAAAUCCUUGUUAAACAUCCCUUCGAAUUCCUCAAAUCCAUUCAAACUCCAUUUCAAAUCUCUUCCAAAAUUAUUCAAACCAUUUCCUUGGGUGCAGGCUCAAUUUCCCUCUCCUCUCCUUUCGGCCUGGCGUGGCUUGCUUCUCCUUCUCCCUUUCAGCCCAGCUCGGCCCGCCCCUCCUCGCCUUCUUCUUUCCCGAGCAGGCCACCUCCUCCUCCUCCUUUACUUCCGCACGGCCCGGUCCAGCCCACAACGGCCGCCACCUCUCUCUUCCUCUCCGCACCAGCACCGCCCAUGAGAAUGGCCCGUGACGACCCGGCUCCCACUCCAUGUCAGCAUUGCGUCCGCACACAGCCGCUGAUGAGUAGGUCCCACUCAAUAGCGUCAUCCCCAACCUCGUGUCGUCUUCCCCAAUGCGUCUCGUUGCCGCCGCCUUGUCCCAUCUCCGCCCGUCGCCUAUGCCGUCGUGCCGGCCCCGAAGAAAUAUCUCGCCGCUCCAUCCCAUCAUGGCCCCACCUGUCAUCCCGCACGGUCCUAAAAGAUCUCCGCCGCCCGCUCCACGGACCUCUGUGCACAAUCGACCUCUCGCGGCUAUAAAAGCUGGCGAGCCCCGCCAUCGCUCCCCGCACCUCAAGCUCGAGCUCCCUCCCUCUUCUUCUGCUCGAGCUCGCCUCCUCCCUCUUUAGUCCUCUCCUCCCUCCACCGGAGCACGGCUUCCUCCGAAGCCACGCCUCGCCGAGCCCUGCCCUUCCCUCUUCCUGUCUAGCGCGCCACCGCACAGAACUGCCAGCCAAGCACUAGCGCCGCCACCGUGACAAACUCGAGGAGGACAAAGUGCCGAGCGACGUUGGAUCGGUAACAAGCGGCCCUGAUCUGCCUGAGCUAAUUCGCGUCCCACACCCGAUGACAAGUAGGCCCGAGUCUAACGCCGAAAAUGCCGUCUGUUGGUGACCAGUGGGCACCACAUCAGCAAGCAAGCUCCCAGACAUCACCAUGGCACUGGGAGGGUGCCUCGCAAGCACCACGCGGACACACCCGUAGCAAAUGACACGUCAUCAUGGGUCCACAUGUGAGUUACUGUGUGACACUGUGCGGUCAACAGUCAACACUGACCAGGGACACACCUGGAGUAACUGUGUCGACGGUAAAAUUACUACGCGUACUCAGGUUAGUGUACACGGAAGUCUCGUUUACCCCUUUCCUUGCACAAGCAAGCUCCCAGACAAAUUGUCACUCGCCAUGGCACUGGGAGGGUGCCUCGCAAGCGCCACGCGGACACACCCGUAGCAAAUGACACGUCAUCAUGGGCCCACAUGUGAGUUACUGUGUGACACUGUGCGGUCAAUAGUCAACACUGACCAGGGACACACCUGGAGUAACUGUGUCGACGGUAAAAUUACUACGCGUACUCAGGUUAGUGUACACGGAAGUCUCGUUUACCCCUUUCCUUGCACAGAAAAAUUUCCAAAAAAUUCCUAAAAAUACUAGAGCCACCCUAUAACCCAUCCAAACCUUUUGCACCCCAUUUCCAUCAUACAAAAUUAUGGGAAAAUAAAUUUCACCACUCAGGCACUCAUAAAUUCCAAUAAAUCACAUAAAUUCCCGAUAAAUUCCCAAAAAUCAUCUCUCCUGUCAAACUCCGUUUCUGUCAAUUCUUCCACCAAAAUUCUUCUAAAAUUAAAUCCUUGAUAUCCCUUCCGGUGCCACCAUUAGUUUCUUUGUUUGAUUCUUGAUUUGUUCAUGUAUUGCUCUUCGACCUGUUAGUCACUAACAUCACACAAACCCCUUAUGCUCAUGCAUGCAUAUACACUGUAGCAUGUAUACAACUAUAUGAGUAUACAUACACCCCCCUUCACACACCUACCACCGAUACUUUUUUUAUUUUUGUUUUUGCAAAAAAAAAAUCAAAACUAUUUAGUCCCAGUUGGUAAUACCAACAGGGACUAAAAGGGGCGGGAGGUAGCCACUGGCGCCGUGAUCGUUUUCUUCCGGUUGGUAUUACCAACUGGGACUAAAAGGGGAUAUUAUAUCCCGGUUUUGGGACCCGUGAUAAAAGACCCCCCUAUCUCGACAAGUUAAUCCUAGAUGCAUUUUCGGAAGAUAUGCACCCUACAAACCGGUACUAAUACCGAAUUUUCUAAUAGUGAAUGGUGCCGGUAGGCGUCCCCUUCAGCUGCAUUCUCUUCCAACCUGCAUACAAAGAGUCACUGGAGAUAGCGUGAUACAACCUCGGUUAGUCAGGCGAUCAAAUGAUAUAACCUCGAGUUAAUCUAGGCCGAAGCCAAUUAGCUUCCGUGUUUCUAUCUGAAGCUGGCAGAGUUAGCGCCUUGUCUGGGCGAGCUAAGACCCGGGUUAUAGGCGAAGGGGAUGAGUUUUGGACAGAUCCCCAACAUCUCGAAAAAUUAAUCUCGGUUGGGCAUUGGAGAGUUAUGCUCCUUCCCAACCGGGACUAAUAGUCAGUUUUCUACUACUGGUUGUGUAGAGGUGAGGAGGCGAGGGUUUUAGGUGAGGACGAUGAGGUGGCACCGCUCCCUUUCUCCGAUUCAACUGUCUCUAUAAAAUUGAUAUGGUUAGAUAUGUCAUAUUCUGUGGUACCACCUCGCGAUCACGAUGUGUGUGCCUCUAUAUAUGUUGUGCCAUUGCAGUCCAUUCGAUCGAGGGAGUACCAUAGCGUGACUGAACUACUGAAAAUGAAAAGCCUACACUUCUGCAACAACACAGUCUACCCCUAUGUUUACAACCUGACUUCCUCCUACAUCGACCAGAACAAUGAGGCCACCAUGGUGACCACCACCUUGGUCAUGUUUAUGCUGGCCGUGUUCGUCUUCAACCUCAACCUCUUCAGCCGCUUCUUGGACGUGAGCGCGAUUCUCAACCCUAGCGUCCGCCUCUUCCUCUCCACCUCCCUGUCCCUCUUCCUGCCGGUCAUGUCCUACCUCUUCUCCGAGGCCAAGAACCAAGGUGCAACGACGACCAUGGCUGCUAGUACUAGUAGCUCCAGUUAUGGCGAGCUCGGUGACGAGCUGUCACUUCGAGCUAGGACGAUCCUCAUGUGGAUGCUUCUUGUGGAGCUCCUACGCAAGAAGGUGGAGGCCGUCCUGGUCAACGUGGGCAUGCAGUGGUACUCAGGCGCCAUCGAUCGCUUCGCCCGCAUUGUUUGGCUCUGCUAGCUCGUCUUCUACAAUGUCAAAAGCCCCGGCAAGAAGGCGAUCUACGGCACCUUAUGGGUCCUCACUGCUGCCAAGUUCCUGCAAAGGGUCGUCGUCAAGAUGGUGCUGGAGCGUUCCUUCGCCUACGGAAGGAACACCCAGCUGCUCAACUCAUACAUGGCCCAGAUCAUCCAACAACAAGAGCAAGAGGAGCACUUGGGGUCAUCGUAGGCGGAGCUGUUGAAGAAGUGCGAGUACACCGUGAUGGGAGAAGACAACCUGGAGAGGACGGCUGGCCGGCAUGCAUGGCUACCAGGUCGAGCUGAACAAGGCAGCCGUUGUCACCGUUGGUGACAUUUGGACGCAGGCAGCAGCCGAGCCGGACAGCCUCCUCCGGAGAGAACACCUCAGAAGGCUCUGCCUCUCCUUUGUUCUCUACAAGCUGCUGCGCCGGAGGUUCGAGGACAUCCCCACAACAAGGGAGGAGACCCGGAACUGCCGGAACCUCAUCUUCAAGGGCAUGUUGAAGGAGGAGGCGGAGCAAGGUGCCGAGGUCGCACUGUUCCAGUCUUCAACGAUGAGACCCAGUUCGUUUGCGAGUACUACCAUUCCGUCCUACCCGUCGUCUUGUCCGACCCUUUCUUCUUCAUAGCCAACUACAUCUUGUUUCCCAUUGUAGUUUGUGCCUUCUGCCUCCUAACAUUGAUCAUCUGCGGCAAUGGGAGCGUCCACUACGCCUACCAGAGCAUCAAAAGUGACAACUACAUCAUAUACACUGGCGCGACGACGCUGACCAGAUGCCUCCUGAGAAACAUCGCCCAUUCACCCGAGGUGCUAGCUGUUCGCCAGCAUCGACCUAGGCACCACCACUCUGCUCAUCCUGGCCUUCGUCUACGAGGAAGUCGUGGAGGUCCUCGUCUUUAUCCUCUCCAAUUGGCUCAUCGUGUCGCUCAUCUGUCAGUACACCGCCAAGCUCCACUGGCGGCAGAGCCGCAUCCUGUG